Molecule: non-coding RNA, 156 nt
Filed under: Tetranychus urticae (two-spotted spider mite)
Lineage: Eukaryota; Metazoa; Arthropoda; Arachnida; Trombidiformes; Tetranychidae
Description: Eukaryotic large subunit ribosomal RNA
Rfam family: Eukaryotic large subunit ribosomal RNA
Source: Rfam by way of RNAcentral
GAUAACUGGUUUGUGGUGGCCAAGCGUUCAUAGCGUUCAUCGCUUUUUGGUCCUUCGAUUUCGGCUCUUCUUAUCACUGCAAAGCAGGGUUCGCCAAGUGUUGGAUUGUUCCCCCACUAAUAGCAAACGGAGGUUUGGACCGUCAUGAGACAGGUU